UACAGGGGGUGCAAACGUUGCUCGGAAUCAUUGGGCGUAAAGCGCACGUAGGCGGUUCGUUAUGUCGGAUGUGAAAGCCCUUGGCUUAACCGAGGAAGUGCAUCCGAAACUGGCGAGCUAGAGUACUAAAGAGGAUCGCGGAAUUCCCGGUGUAGAGGUGAAAUUCGUAGAUAUCGGGAGGAACACCGGUGGCGAAGGCGGUUCUCUGGGCCUUACCUGACGCUGAGGAGCGAAAGCGUGGGGAGCGAACAGG
Molecule: ribosomal RNA, 253 nt
Filed under: uncultured bacterium
Lineage: Bacteria
Description: partial 16S ribosomal RNA
Rfam family: Bacterial small subunit ribosomal RNA
Source: RNAcentral